AACGAACGCUGGCGGCGCGUCUUAAACAUGCAAGUCGAACGAUUUGUAGCAAUACAGGGAGUGGCGGACGGGUGAGGAACACGUAGGAAUCUACCUUGAAGAGCGGGACAACUUUGGGAAACCGGGGCUAAUACCGCAUAGUACAGAGAUGUUAAAGGGCUAGCAAUAGUCGCUUCGAGAUGAGCCUGCGGUCUAUCAGCUUGUUGGUGAGGUAAUGGCUCACCAAGGCUACGACGGAUAGCCGGUCUGAGAGGAUGAUCGGCCACACUGGCACUGAGACACGGGCCAGACUCCUACGGGAGGCAGCAGUUAAGAAUCUUGCGCAAUGGGGGAAACCCUGACGCAGCGACGCCGCGUGAAGGAUG
RNAcentral lists this ribosomal RNA (365 nucleotides) under uncultured bacterium. RNAcentral's name for it is "bacterial SSU rRNA". It matches the Rfam family "Bacterial small subunit ribosomal RNA", at positions 29 to 410 of the family's 1533-position model. The record is from RNAcentral.